Molecule: long non-coding RNA, 566 nt
Filed under: Manihot esculenta (cassava)
Lineage: Eukaryota; Viridiplantae; Streptophyta; Magnoliopsida; Malpighiales; Euphorbiaceae
Description: long non-coding RNA (MESC_LNC007365)
Source: RNAcentral
AGAAAUUGGCGCAGCGUUGGAGAUGGCAUAAUAAGCAAUAAAAAAAUUUCGAUGUGAUUUUUGGCAAUUCCAAUGUCUGAUUAAGGUGUUUUCGGUGGCGUUGGACUCCUGACAGUAAGAGCUUUCAUUUGAGACUAGUCACGGGAUUUCAUAAAGUUUCCGAUGAGAUUGAGGAGAGAGAAAAUUGAGACUUAUGUCUCAGAUCUCGGAUGAUCAGCGGCUUAUUUUAGUGAUAAGCCCAGUUAUAGUGAUAUACGUUCCACAAGCUUCAAGUUCACACUUAGUAUGUCUCGAUGGGGCAAUGUACGACGAAAAGGAUAAACGGAUGGAUGAAAUUAAUUUGGCGGAUAUUGGACGAUCGAAAGGAAUUUUGACGAACUGUCUUCGAAUCUAUGAAUCUUGGACAUUUCAAAAAGUGUAUUCGAAGCAUCCAUAUCUCACCGUUGCUCAGGAUUGAAUUUUUACGCCGAUCGAUGUACUCGAGAGACCAUUUUGAUGAUAUAUUUUGCUGAUUCUUGCAGAAUGAUUUAAGUGAACGUAUUGAAUUGAGAGAGCAAAUAUAUGGG